GCAAACCGGGAGAACUGAAACAUCUAAGUACCCCGAGGAAAAGAAAUCAACCGAGAUUUUGUAAGUAGCGGCGAGCGAAAGCGAAAGAGCCAGUGAGUGAUAGCAGCAAAGACAGAAGAAUUGGCUGGGAAGCCAAGCGACACAGGGUGAUAGCCCCGUAUUCGAAGUUUUUGUUGUGGUACUAAGCUUGCAACAAGUAGGGCGGGACACGAGAAAUCCUGUUUGAAGAUGGGGGGACCAUCCUCCAAGGCUAAAUACUCCUGAUUGACCGAUAGUGAACCAGUACUGUGAAGGAAAGGCGAAAAGAACCCCAGUGAGGGGAGUGAAAUAGAACCUGAAACCGUGUACGUACAAGCAGUGGGAGCCCUUUGGGGUGACUGCGUACCUUUUGUAUAAUGGGUCAGCGACUUAUAUUUUGUAGCGAGGUUAACUGAAUAAGGGAGCCGAAGGGAAACCGAGUCUUAACUGGGCGGCUAGUUGCAAGGUAUAGACCCGAAACCCGGUGAUCUAGCCAUGGGCAGGUUGAAGGUUGGGUAACACUAACUGGAGGACCGAACCGACUAAUGUUGAAAAAUUAGCGGAUGACUUGUGGCUGGGGGUGAAAGGCCAAUCAAACCGGGAGAUAGCUGGUUCUCCCCGAAAUCUAUUUAGGUAGAGCCUUAUGUGAAUACCUUCGGGGGUAGAGCACUGUUUCGGCUAGGGGUCCAUCCCGGAUUACCAACCCGAUGCAAACUGCGAAUACCGAAGAGUAAUGCAUAGGAGACACACGGUGGGUGCUAACGUCCAUC
Molecule: ribosomal RNA, 788 nt
Filed under: Glaesserella parasuis
Lineage: Bacteria; Pseudomonadati; Pseudomonadota; Gammaproteobacteria; Pasteurellales; Pasteurellaceae
Description: partial 23S ribosomal RNA
Rfam family: Bacterial large subunit ribosomal RNA
Source: RNAcentral